GACGAACGCUGGCGGCGUGCUUAACACAUGCCAGUCGAACGGAAAGGCCCUGCUUUUUUGGGGUUCUCGAGUGGCGAACGGGUGAGUAACACGUGAGUAACCUUCCCUUGGCUUUGGGAUAACUUCAGGAAACUGGGGCUAAUACCGGAUAGGAGCUCCUGCUGCAUGGGGGGGGUUGGACAGUUUCGGCGGGUGGGGAUGGACUCGCGGCUUAUCAGCUUGUUGGUGGGGUAGUGGCUUACCAAGGCUUUGACGGGUAGCCGGCCUGAGAGGGUGACCGGCCACAUUGGGACUGAGAUACGGCCCAGACUCCUACGGGAGGCAGCAGUGGGGAAUAUUGCACAAUGGGCGGAAGCCUGAUGCAGCAACGCCGCGUGCGGGAUGACGGCCUUCGGGUUGUAAACCGCUUUCGCCUGUGACGAAGCGUGAGUGACGGUAAUGGGUAAAGAAGCACCGGCUAACUACGUG
RNAcentral lists this ribosomal RNA (468 nucleotides) under uncultured bacterium. Its description in RNAcentral is "partial 16S ribosomal RNA". It matches the Rfam family "Bacterial small subunit ribosomal RNA", at positions 28 to 507 of the family's 1533-position model. The record is from RNAcentral.